UACGGGGGGGGCAAGCGUUGUUCGGAAUUACUGGGCGUAAAGGGCUCGUAGGCGGCCAACUAAGUCAGACGUGAAAUCCCUCGGCUUAACCGGGGAACUGCAUCUGAUACUGGAUGGCUUGAGUUCGGGAGAGGUGAGUGGAACUGCGAGUGUAGAGGUGAAAUUCGUAGAUAUUCGCAAGAACACCAGUGGCGAAGGCGGCUCACUGGCCCGAUACUGACGCUGAGGCACGAAAGCGUGGGGAGCAAACAGG
Molecule: ribosomal RNA, 253 nt
Filed under: uncultured bacterium
Lineage: Bacteria
Description: partial 16S ribosomal RNA
Rfam family: Bacterial small subunit ribosomal RNA
Source: RNAcentral